Molecule: non-coding RNA, 265 nt
Organism: Drosophila virilis
Lineage: Eukaryota; Metazoa; Arthropoda; Insecta; Diptera; Drosophilidae
Source: RefSeq, a predicted model, not a curated record
GUGCGCUUAGCUCUUACAUGCUCUCAGUUUAUUUCUGACUCUCGUGCAAAGCGCAACGUCGAAACGGACGGCUCGUACGGUCGCUCGGUCGCUCAUGUUGUGUGUGUGUUCGGUGUCGGUUUUCGGUGUCGGUGUUUUUUGUGUGUGUUUUUCGGUGCUUGACAAAUGCAAUACAAAUGCAAAUGCAGUAGAAUUCAAAGUGCAACAACAACAAAAACAACAGCGAGCCAAACGAGUUUCAAUAAGCCAAUAAACCAAUAAGCAA